CUGAUUUCAUCUGGUGACGUAGA
RNAcentral lists this microRNA (23 nucleotides) under Tetraodon nigroviridis (spotted green pufferfish). Its description in RNAcentral is "Tni-Mir-29-P1b2_5p (mature (co-guide))". Lineage: Eukaryota; Metazoa; Chordata; Actinopteri; Tetraodontiformes; Tetraodontidae. The record is from RNAcentral.